This 1805-nucleotide long non-coding RNA is filed under the name Equus asinus (donkey). RNAcentral describes it as "lncRNA (ENSEASG00005032864.1)". Lineage: Eukaryota; Metazoa; Chordata; Mammalia; Perissodactyla; Equidae. The record is from RNAcentral.
AGAAAGUUGGCUUUGUUUAAAAAACACUCACAGGACAUCCUGCCACGUUCAAGCGGUGUCAUUUUCCUGUCUUCAGUUGUUCCUUUGUUGAACAAGGACAAAAAGGGAACCUGCCACAAUUGGGAAGAAGAGCCAUCCUUGAAGCUGCAGAAGUGGGAAUUCAGUUCUGACCACUGGUAGCAAAGACAGGUGUGUUGAACUCGCCCAUCCCCCACUGAAGCAGACAUUGUCACUGCCCCACCCUGGGGUCGCCUGGGGCUUUGGCAGACAAUUCCUGUGCACACUGGCUUUCUCUCUCAGGCACCCGGGUCUGGAUGCCUGAGGGCUUUUUCUGCCACAGUAUUGUGCCGGCCCACCAACAAGACCAACCCCCCAGGACAGCCCUCCAGAGAUGAGGGACAGGAGCUAGUAGACAAAUCCACCAGCCCCCCAACUCCUGGUGGGUCAACUGGAAGUGUGUCCUACACAACCUCUCAGGGGGGCCCCUGCAGGACUGAGGCCCAGUGGCCCUCAGAGGUAACUGCUCAUUAACUUACCCUUUUUGGCUUUUUCUCUCUUCCCUGUCUCACUUCCCCACUUCCUCACUCUGCUUCCUGGGAUCACUUUCCAAAUACACUAUUUGCCGCAAAUCCUUUGCCUCAGGGUCUACUUUUGGGGGAGCCCAACUAAGACAUCUAUCAAAAUUUUAGAUAAGUAAAGACUCUAAAGGGAUUCUAUUACUACUUUUCAGCAGAAAUGUAUGGGUCAUCCUUAGAAAGACCCAAAGAAAUCAAAAUGGUGAGAGUUGUACCAAAUACUGGCUCUGUUCUCACAUAGUGUCACCUGAAUGUACCACGCCUCCCUAAUUAUAUUGCAAACACACUGUGACUGAGACCAUGGGGGCAGGGAGCUGAACUCGGUGCUAAAGCUAACAAAUAAAAAUGGCAAGCAAUAGGAUAUAUUGGAGUAUAUGAGGAAGCCAUUUGGUAUAAACCUAAUUCGGCCUGACCUUGUCUUUCCAAAAGGGCAUUGUAUAUCUGCUUUAGAGAUUCCCUAUGGCAAGAGCAAAGGCCCUUGAGAUAAAGGUGCAACUUCUCUCCCCCUCCCAGCGUUGGCAACUCCUUAAGGAUUAAGUAUCUUUCCUUAGGCUAGAAGCUGAUUGCUGCACUCACCUGUGACCGCCCAGCUCAAGACAAUAGGCUUGCCUCCUGCUAUGCCCACCAAGAUAGCAGACCCACUACCUGCUGUGUCCAUCAAGUGCUGUGCCGACAGGGCAAUCUUGUGACUAUUGUGGGAGGGACAUUUCAAUCGUAUGUGAAACACCCUCUUUGAGGGUAUAUAACCACCCUGUGUACCCCCACUUCUUUGGAGUGGCCUGUUCCUUUGUGGAAAGACUCUCCCGGGUUAUAAUCCUAAAAUUUAAGCUCAGAAUAAACUCAGCCAAAUUUUCCUUUAUAGAUUGGUUAUGGAUUAUUUUCGUCGACAGUUCUUGGCGUAGUCGCCGCAGGAUUUCAGAGAAACCCACCGGAGGCCAUCUGGAAUCUACACUGAACCGGUAUUCGGUACCAAUAAGGGCCCAUUGAGCCCCCCGGAUCACUGUAUUCUUCAGGUGACCUUGGUGAGUUCUCCUGAGACCCGGACCUCCUUAUUUUAAGUUGAUGGUCCAAGAGUUUAUAUGAGCUGGGUAAGGUCUUAAGAUUAGAGGUUUUGAGGAGUACCGGUACGUUUCCUAGGUGGAGAAAAACCUAGAGAGAAUUCCUAAGCUGCAGGAACUUAGAGGAGCUUGGAGUGAGCUGGGUUGGUUGUCCUUUUAAUUUGGCUUUAAA